This 1474-nucleotide long non-coding RNA is filed under the name Homo sapiens (human). Its description in RNAcentral is "HSALNT0214530". The record is from RNAcentral. Lineage: Eukaryota; Metazoa; Chordata; Mammalia; Primates; Hominidae.
GCACUUUGGGAGGCCGAGGCGGGUGGAUCACGAGGUCAGGAGAUCGAGACCAUCCUGGCUAACACAGUGAAACCCCAUCUCUACUAAAAAUACAAAAAAUUAGCCGGGUGUAGAGGCAGGCACCUGUAGUCCCAGCUACUCGGGAGGCUGAGGCAGGAGAAUGGGGUGAACCCGGGAGGCGGAGCUUGCAGUGAGCCGAGAUCACGCCACUGCACUCCAGCCUGGGCAACAGAGCGAGACUCUGUCUCAAAAAAAUAAAAAGAAAGUAGCACGCAGCCAGCACCUCCUCUACCACUGAGGACUCUGGAGCUUUAGAGAGGGCCAGCAUCUUGGCAAGGGGCUAUGGGAGCUAACAGUAAGCCAGAAGGGGGUUUCUGCUCAUUUGUUCCCAAUUUGCACAUGCUGAUUAGAAGCUGAGCCUUUCAUUGUCCUGAUAGGGAGGCCUAAUGCCCUCUCCCCAAAGAUUAAAAAUGCUCUAGCUGUGGGGACACUUAAAGCCUCUAGUUUUCUGGCCUGGAGGCCUCAGUUCCAAGCCUUUAAGAAGUUCUACCCUUUGAUGAAUUCCAUCUUCUGCCCACCAAGCAUUGCAUCCUGAUGCCAGGAGCUGACCUGGAGAAAUUCCAGCCACAUGUACCCCACCACUUAUCAGCUCUUUUAGCCCAGAAAGAGAUUCUCACUGGUCUUCUAAGAACCUCUCUCUUCCAUCAGUCACCACCAUCUGUCUACAUACAACAGAAGACAAAUUCCCCCUGGACCUAAGUUUCAGGCCCCCCUCUGACACAUGAUCAUUUGGCAAACAACCAAAAUCAGCAACUGAGAGCAUGUGGCAGGGCAAUACUGAAUAUAUACAAAGCUGUCAUCAUUUCAGGGAAAAAAAAACAAAUAUCCAACUAGAAAGUGAGCAAAAGACAUAAAUAGACAUUUUGCAGAAGAAGAUUUGCAGAUGGCAAAUAUGCACAUGGAGAUACCCCUUCAACAUUAUUAUCCAUUUGGGAAAUUCAUAUUAAAACCACAAUGAGAUAUCAUUAAAUACCUUCAGAAUGGCUAUGAAAAAAUAGUGACAACACCAAAUGCUGGCAAGGAUGCAGAGAAAUGGGAUCACUCACCCACGGCUCAUGAGAAUGUAAAAUGGUACAGAUACUCUGGAAAAUAGUUUAGCGGUUUGUUAAAAAACUAAACAUGCAAUCAACUUAUGAACUAGUGAUUGUAUUCCGAAGCAUUUAUCAUCGUAAAUGAUAGAAAUGUUCUGUAUCUUGACUAUAUCAAUGUCAAUAAGCUGGUUGUGAUAUUGCACUACUGUUUUGCAAGAUGUUACCGCUGGGAGAAACUGCAUAAUGGGUACACAGGCUCUGCCUGUAUCAUUUCUUACAUGUGAAUCUAGGAUCAUCUCAAAGCAAAGGCUUAACCGGAAAACAAAAACUGACCACCCCUCCCCCUAAUUUUUCUUCUCACAUUGAGAAGUACAGUAAAGUAC